UUGACGCAAGCAUUAUUAAGUUGCUCUCUCGUUAACGCGUUGUUCGAAGAUGAAGAGAGGAAUUUAUAAACAAUGAUGGGAUGGGAUGGAAUAAGAAACGGGAGUGAAACGAGAAGGGCAAAACGACCUAGCCUGGGGAAAUCGAGGUUGUCGUGCUAAUUCGAUUUUCAUUGUUACUGAAUUGCUUACCGGAGAAACUCGGCAGUUUCUGUUACACCGUGACAUUCAAUUUUCAUAAAAUGAUUCACGCGAUGGGAACUUACGAAUUAAAUAUUGAUGAGCCAAGACUUGUAUCCUCGUAAGCUUCGUCGGGCCAUGAAGGCGCAGAAUGAGUUCUUGAGGAUAUGUACAUCUUCUUGAACUCUGCCAUCCUCUUACCGUCGGUCCAUGAACGUUCAGCUCCAACGAAGAGUGUCUAUCUUCUUCGCCUGUGAUUAUUUAAAAUAUUAUAAUCUUAAAUAAAACGAAGCAUAUUUUAUAAAAUUGCAAUAAGUAUUAUCGUUGUUGCAAAUGGAUUUUAUUUUAGAGAUUCCGGUAUUGUAUGGAGAAAAUUGUUGAUCGAAUAUAUUCGAUUGCUACCGAAAAUUUGUCAAAAAUUCCAUUUAUGUAUUGUUUCUAUUUCGAGCAAUUAUAUGCUUCUGCUUACUGAAUAAAAAUGGAGAUUGUAAGAGAUGUAA
Long non-coding RNA from Bombus pyrosoma, 677 nucleotides. RefSeq lists it as uncharacterized. The record is from RefSeq and is a predicted model, not a curated record. Lineage: Eukaryota; Metazoa; Arthropoda; Insecta; Hymenoptera; Apidae. The transcript is spliced from 2 exons.